CUUCUAGUCUUCUCUUCAAACCUAAUACAGUCAGUCAGCAGGUUUGGUCUGGAUCUCCUCUCCACAGAUAGCCUUCUGUCCCACCACCUCCAGAAUGCUGCCCUGCUCAGAGAGGACUGGGUCCAGUGACCUCUACUACCCGUCAAGACAGAGUCCAGUCAUGUCUACUACCACCACAUCUAUAUGGACAGGGGACACACUUGUCCAUCAGGGUUCAAUUGCAGCCACAAGCAGCAUGGGAGGAGCCGGAGGGGAGUGGCCAGGGGUGUGUCACCUGUCAGAUGGGCGGGCUCUGCUCAGACCCCACACUGGAAGGCUUAUUGUGGAGGGAGGAAGAGGAGACACACCCACAAGACCAAAGAAGAUGAGGAGGUCCUCUUGUCUCAGCUGUCAGACCCUGAGGACAGUCUAGAUGAGAGCCUGGAGGAUGCCGUUUCACCCCAGACCUCACACACACGCAAACAGGUACCACACACACACACACAUUAUAGCUCCAAUACUACCUGGCUACUUGUGUGCAUUAUAGCUC
This 529-nucleotide long non-coding RNA is filed under the name Salmo trutta (river trout). RNAcentral describes it as "lncRNA (ENSSTUG00000037557.1)". Lineage: Eukaryota; Metazoa; Chordata; Actinopteri; Salmoniformes; Salmonidae. The record is from RNAcentral.